AAAAUUUAAAAUUAAGAUACUAAAAUAGUAAAUAAAUAUUUAUUGAAACUUAAAUAAUUUGGCGGUAUUUUAGUUCAUUUAGAGGAAUCUGUUUAAUAAUUGAUAUUCCACGAAUAAAUUUACUUAAUUUAUAAUUUUGUAUAUCGUUGUUAUAAAAAUAUUUUUUAAAAAAAUUAAUAUUUAAAAAUUAAUAUGUAUAAAUUUAAAUCAGAUCAAGAUGCAGAUUAUAGUUAAGAAUAUAAUGGAUUACAAUAAAUUUAUUUAAAUGAAUUUUAAUUUGAAAAAAAUUAAUUGAAAGUGGAUUUAAAUGUAAUUUUAUUUAAUUUAAUAAAAUGAUUAAAAAUUAAAAUAUGU
This 354-nucleotide ribosomal RNA is filed under the name Sesamia sp. SEKEG3815. RNAcentral describes it as "partial 12S small subunit ribosomal RNA". RNAcentral also lists the same sequence under 1 other name. The record is from RNAcentral. Lineage: Eukaryota; Metazoa; Arthropoda; Insecta; Lepidoptera; Noctuidae.